GUUAGGGGAUCGAAGAUGAUCAGAUACCGUCGUAGUCUUAACCAUAAACUAUGCCGACUAGGGAUCGGGUGGUGUUCUUUUUUGACCCACUCGGCACCUUACGAGAAAUCAAAGUUUUUGGGUUCUGGGGGGAGUAUGGUCGCAAGGCUGAAACUUAAAGGAAUUGACGGAAGGGCACCACCAGGAGUGGAGCCUGCGGCUUAAUUUGACUCAACACGGGGAAACUCACCAGGUCCAGACACAAUAAGGAUUGACAGAUUGAUAGCUCUUUCUUGAUUUUGUGGGUGGUGGUGCAUGGCCGUUCUUAGUUGGUGGAGUGAUUUGUCUGCUUAAUUGCGAUAACGAACGAGACCUUAACCUACUAAAUAGUACUAUUAGCGUUUGCUGAUUUGGGACUUCUUAGAGGGACUAUCGGUUUCAAGCCGAUGGAAGUUUGAGGCAAUAACAGGUCUGUGAUGCCCUUAGACGUUCUGGGCCGCACGCGCGCUACACUGACGGAGCCAACGAGUAUAUCCUUUGCCGAGAGGUACGGGUAACCUUGUGAAACUCCGUCGUGCUGGGGGAUAGAGCAUUGCAAUUAUUGCUCUUCACGAGGAAUUCCUAG
This 604-nucleotide ribosomal RNA is filed under the name Ogataea arabinofermentans. Its description in RNAcentral is "SSU rRNA". It matches the Rfam family "Eukaryotic small subunit ribosomal RNA", at positions 989 to 1617 of the family's 1831-position model. Lineage: Eukaryota; Fungi; Ascomycota; Pichiomycetes; Pichiales; Pichiaceae. The record is from RNAcentral.